UCGGACAGAUCUUAGUGAACCACGUGUGUUUUUGUUACAACUGGCUUUUGGCACCUAGGGAGAUUGUUCACGUGCCAUAAAUAAGGUUGUUGAGAUACUUAUCUCUGCGGAAUAAGAUCAAUGUGUGUCUGACAGAGCUAUGAAGUACUUACUACUAAUUUGGUGGUUUGGAGUAUUGUGAAUUUUAUAUGAUAAACUAAUUACCCACCACAUUGUUUCACGGCAUUAUUAGUUUUUUUCCUUUCAGUGUAUUCGGUAAAAAUGGAAGUAGCACACGAAAAAUAACAUUCUAGUACAGAUUAUGUCAUUGUGAUAAAUGUCUUUUUUUUUUUUAUCAAAAAUGGAAAAUAUUUGAGAAACGGUUUCAAUACAUUUAUAUAUAGAGCGAUUUACAUCCCAAAUUUUUUUCCUUUUACCAAAUACAUGCACUAUUGACAUUUUAUGUCACACGAUGCAUAGUUUUGUCCGUUUAUACCUUGGGUUUAUUUGUACAUAACCAAAAGAAAAAAAAAAGAAAUUAAAUUUGUAGUAAGAAGGUAGGAAGAGAUAGGACGAGAAAUGAAGAGAUUUUUGUUAGUUAAUGAAUUAAAAAUUUUUUUGGUCAUUUGGCCUAAUUUCCCUUAUACCUUUCACCAUAUAGUUUUGUCCCAUUGUACCUUCAGUUUUUUUUUAAUACAAAAUUAAUCUUAUAACAUUCUAAUUUUAUUUAUAAAUUACAGUUUAUGUUUAAUAGUUAAACAUUUAUGUAGUUUAUGUUUUGUUUAUUUAUCAAACUAAUAUAUGUAUAAUACAAAAUAAAUUCUAUAUUUACUAAAAAGUAAAAAUAUAUUCAUCAAAAUAUAAUUUAAUUUCGUAUUUUUAUUUAUGUAAUGUAUACAAUAUUUUUAGUAUAUGUCUAAUAUAUAAUCAAUUAUGUAUGUAUUAAAAUAGUAAAAAUAUAAAGAUAUUCAUCAGAAUAUAAUUUAAUAUCAUAUUUCAAUUUUAUAUAAAAAAUCAUAAUAAACCUAAAACAUAUAAAAAUAAAAUAAAACUGAUGAAAUUAAUAAAAGUAAAUAAAAACUAGAAAAAAUAUUUAUAUUGUGUAUAACAUCAAACCUUUGAAAUACAUAUAAAAUUUCUUUAUCUAUAUAUAUAAAAAAAUGUUUGCUUCACUCAUGUGCGUCCAAUCACUAAGUCGUUGCCUGAUGUUGCGACACCUGUCCUCUUUUUCAAAAACGCAUCGUUUCAUUAAACAUAUGUCAUAUUGGGCUUCGUUUGUAUAUGUCGUGUAAUGGACCUUUUAAUGAACCGAGUUUGGGCCCGACGUGAAAGAAAUCGUUCUAACCCUAAUACGCCGCAUCGAAGGUAUGGAGUACGUCUCUUCUCUACGUGCGAUGACGAGGUGGUGUCGUUUGCGAUUCAUCUCGCGACGUGAAACGUUCUGAUUAAUGGAUCCCUCUUUAAUCCCAUUGAUUUACACCUCUCUAUUGUUCUUUGAAAACGCUGAAUGGCUCUCUAUUGUGACCAUCUUUUUCUUGCAAGAACCAGAGAGAUCUAACCGGAAAACUUAUAGGCUAUUUGAUCUUGCCAUAGAAGAUGAAAGAGUUGUAAGUGGUUCAAGUGGAACAACAGCCUUCACAGCUUUUCUGAUUGGACAUCACUUAGUGGUUGUUAACGCAUGUGAUUGUCGUGCAAUUAUCUGCCGGAAAGAAGAAGCUGUUGAUAUGGAAAGGGAAGCUUCGGAUAAUAUUACAUUGGCGGUCAAAUGCUUCGUGCCGUCAGCACCUACUCCUCAGAGGAGAAGAAUACAGUUAUUUGUUUCAGAUGAAUCCCGAGCAUGGUUACGGUGAUCAGUUUUGUAUAUAUGUUUGGUUGAAGUUCCAUUUUUUAUUCUGGUGAAGAGAUUUUGGUAAAGUUUGAAUUUUAAUACAUGAAUGUGCUGUAGUAAAAGUAAUAUGUUUUUAGUUUACGAUUUAUUUGUAGUUGAGCACUAAUUACUGGUUUCUAUCUUUAAAAAAAAAACAGCUUCUCAGACUUAAGAUCAAGCAAAAAUUAGUCUGAAGCUCGGGGAGAGUAAAGUAUGUGGAUCUCCAUCCUACAGAACCAUGGAUUUGAGCAAGUUUAUGUUUUUGUGUAUUUGGAACUACCAGACACAGGUGGCAAAUAUUGGUGAUCAAACUGGGUUGAUCUCUGUCAAGAACAAACAAAAACGACAACACCUCCUCCCCCAUGUUAAGUCUGCAUGAUUCUUCUAUUACAUGACUGCAUUUCCUUACCUUUCUUUCAAGAUAUAAUCAAAUUACAUUACACGUAGCAAAAAAAAAAAAGAUUUUACAUUACACUCACAACUCUCUUUUACGAUGAGUGGUGCUUUGCCUUUUUAAUUAAAAUUUACACCCCUCUUCAAUUAUAUAUUUUUUUUUCAAUUAUACCUUCUUAAAUAGUAUAUGUAAAAAAUAUAUCAAAAAACAAACAUAUGCAAAUUGCUUUACAAACAUCUGUACAAAUACAAUAUUACUCAGCAAUACGCUGCAGCAAAAUUAUAUACAAGUCACAUAUAGCUCAGUACACAAUAUAAUAAUCAAACUACAUGAACAUAACAAAACAAAAAAUAAUCCAACAACAUAUUUAGCUACAAAAAAGCAUUACACACAUUUCUCAAGCCCAUAGAUGCGAGCUUAGCAAACGUAAUAGCCCAAUGUCUCUAACGGGCGUACAAAAUACAGCUAAUUACAAACAAAAUUUAGCAUCCAAUCUUACAUGGUCCAACCAAAAGGAGACGCUAACAAGUAACCUAUCUUUAGAGCAUGUAUUAAGAAGAGUUGAAAAUUCAAGCUACAUAUUACUUAAUAAGCAUUGACCCAAACUAUGGAUGCUAAAUAUUUACACUCUCCUCAAUACAAUUAUACAAACCCUACAUGGUCCUUCUAACCGCAAAGGCAACCAAAGUUAUCUCAUAUUUCGAAUAAUUGAAUAUUCCUUUAAAUUUAUAGUAAGCAAUAAUGCUGACUUUCAUUUUAUUAUUGAACAUACCCCAAAAUACGUUCCAAAAAAAAUAUCAAAAAAUAUGAGGUUCACAAUUUGUUUGUAAUAUCUCAUAAAAUAAAACAAUAAAAUUAAUAGGAAACUAAACAUUAUCCUAACAAACAAUGAUUAUACAAUUAUGUCCAAACAAAAAUAUUACGUAGUUUAAUUUCGCGUGUCGCACGGACCAACCCAAUGUCUUCCAUUGUUUUAUAUAUAUACGUACGUAAAAAUAUAGAUUAUGCAAUUACAUCAAAACAAAUAUAGGACGAAGUGGAACAAAAUAUUUUGAAAAGACAUCCGUGAAAGUUAAGAAUUCAACGGUUUUAAAACUAAAAUAGAAUUAUGAUUGGUUGUACAUUUAAAAAAGUUUUGCAUCAAAAUUUAUAUAAGUGAGAUAAAUGAGUAUGUAGAUCAUGGGUCUAAAUAAUUCGGUUGUAAGUGCAGAAAUUUUGUUGUAACAAUUUAGUUUGUAGAAAUUAGGUUUUAGUGAUGUAGUUGUAAAAUUUUAAUGUAGACAAAUAUUAUAAUUUUUAAACCGGUGUUUUAAGAAAAAAAAAUACUUUAAAAGGAUUGUAUAUUUAAAGGUGAGGGUCAAGUAAAUUACUAAGAGAAUAAUUGGAAACAAAAAAUUUUAAAAAACAAUUAAGUGAAAUGAAACAUUUCUAUAAUCCAACCAAUCAAACACAUAACUAAAAUUUACUUCUUCUUUUUUUUUUUUCAUUUUGCUCAUCCUUAUAUAUAAUUUCCAAUAACAAAAAUAUCAGAAAUUUGAAUAUUAAACUUUUUGAAGUUUGUAAGACAGGAAAAAGUAAAUAAUUAAAAAAUAUUUUAUAAUUGUCUAGAUACUUAUAUUUCUAUAAUAGAUUAUACCAUUUAUAUAUCAAAAUAAACACACAUACAAAAUAUAUAAUAAAAAGAUAACAUUUAAACAAAAACCCCGGGCGUAGCCCGGGCCGACCCUAGUAAUAUAUAAAAACAUAACAAAACUCCUUAACUAUAAGUUAUUAAUUGUAUAUCAGCCAAAUACAAAUAUUAAUUACAUUAUAUAUAAUAUUUAUUAACAAAAUAUUAACUAUGUAUUUAAUAAAAUUACAUACUUGAAAAUUGAAAAACUAUACAUAAAAGUUUAAAUAAAAUCAUUUACAAUUGAUUCCUAAUAUUUCUCAGAUUUUAAAAUUUUGAAAUAUAUUUUGACCAAUGAGAAAAAUAUAUAUCUUAGUUAGACCAUCUCUAAAAACAAUUUUAUUUUUAAAGUUGGCAAAAUUUCAAAUUUAAAAUUUGGAAAAAACAAUCUUCAAAAAAGUUUCAAACUUUUGAACUUUUAUAUUAUACAUUGCGGUCUUUACUAUUGAUAAAGUUUAUUAAAAUCAUAAAAUAUUAAUAAUACAUACAUUUGAAAGCUGUGCUAAAUAAUAUUGAUUGAUAAAAUGAACAUUAUAAAUGAUAAUAAACACACAGAAACUGUAUAUUUUAUGUAAACUAUCAAAUUACUUAAUAUAAUUCUUUUAAUGUUUUUAUAUAUGAUUAAUUAAUAAAAUUUAAAGAUGAUAUGUAAAUUUAUUUUUUUAGCUGUAAGUAUGUUAUGAGAUCAAAGUUAUUAAAUUCGAUAUUUUAUAUGUGAAAUAUUUAUGAGAAAUAUGAAAUAAUAAUUAUAAACGUUAACAAAAUUUUUGAGAAAAACUCAAAACAUAUGACUUCAAAUAUGAAAUUUUGUUUUCACUAUUCAAAACUGUAAAAUUUAAAAUUUUAGAAUAAGUUAACUUUUUAUUUUUAAAUAUGAAGGUUGGUUUGUUUUACCGAUGCUCUUCACUUGGGGUAGACCUAACAUGAACAUACACCUAUUCAACCCAAGUCCUAAUCUUGUUCCGCAAGAGGAUUUAAGAGUUCAUGUAUUAUAAAUUUGUGAUGGUUUAGACCAAAAAAAAAUAAAAAAAUUUGUGAUGGCGUAGCUCAGAACAGAAAGCGAACACGUCUGGGAUGUUUCAUUGUGUAUGUGUCUUCUUGAUGAAUUUUCAGACUCAAGAGCUCACAGUCCUACACAAUCCUCAUUAAUUUUAUAGACACACAGUUCAUGCAGCGUGCUUCUGUUCCGGCCUGAACUCUCGCUUUAGCUGGUUUAGUAUUACUACUAGUAUUAUCUUUCGUACCACGUACAGGCCUUUAUCUGUUUAUAAAUAUAUAUUAUAUAUGUUUGUGUUGAACAUAUUAUAUAUGUUGUAAGAAAAGAACAUAUUAUAUAUACAUUUAAUUUAAAAUCUUCUCUAUUAAAAGAGAAGUACCAUUUUUAUCUAUUACAAAAUAGUCAUACUAGAAAUUUAGGUUCAUAUAUUCAAAUAUUUUUUUAUUGUUUACAUUAGUUUAUUUAAUGUAUAACAUUUCUAAAUAAUUAUAAGGAUAUUAAUAACAAAUCCAUUUUAACUAUAAAUUUAAAUUUUAGUUUUAGAAAUAACAAAAUCUGUUGAGAAAAAUCUAAUAAAAUCUUUU
Long non-coding RNA from Brassica rapa (field mustard), 5490 nucleotides. RefSeq lists it as uncharacterized. The record is from RefSeq and is a predicted model, not a curated record. NCBI's taxonomy places the organism in Eukaryota, Viridiplantae, Streptophyta, Magnoliopsida, Brassicales, Brassicaceae.